GCGCAGCAGUCGAGAAUCUUCCACAAUGGGCGAAAGCCUGAUGGAGCGACGCCGCGUGACUGAAGAAGCCCUUCGGGGUGUAAAAGUCUUUUAUCUGGGAACAAUUCCCCGCUUGCGGGGUGAGGGUACCAGAUGAAUAAGGGGCCGCCAAACUCGUGCCAGCAGCGGCGGUAAGACGAGUGCCCCGAGCGUUAUCCGGAAUUAUUGGGCGUAAAGAGCCUUAAGGCGGUUAAGAAAGUUUCCCGUCAAAUUCUUGGGGCUUAACCUCAAGAGCGCGGGGGAUACUACUUGACUCGAGGGCGUUAGAGGCCAGCGGAACGGCCGGUGUAGGGGUGAAAUCCGUUGAUAUCGGCCGGAACACCGAAAGCGAAGGCAGCUGGCUGGGGCGACCCUGACGCUGAUUGGCGAAAGCGUGGGUAGCGAAAAGGAUUAGAUACCCCUGUAGUCC
RNAcentral lists this ribosomal RNA (448 nucleotides) under uncultured bacterium. Its description in RNAcentral is "bacterial SSU rRNA". It matches the Rfam family "Bacterial small subunit ribosomal RNA", at positions 346 to 796 of the family's 1533-position model. The record is from RNAcentral.